UACGGAGGUCCCAAGCGUUGUUCGGAAUUACUGGGCGUAAAGGGAGCGCAGGCGGACAGGUCAGUCUAAAGUGGAAUCCCGGGGCUCAACCUCGGAACUGCUUCGGAUACUGCCUGUCUUGAGUUCGUGAGAGGAAAGCGGAAUUCAGGGUGUAGCGGUGAAAUGCUUAGAUAUCCUGAGGAACACCCGUGGCGAAGGCGGCCCUCUGGCUCGACCCUGACGCUGAGGCGCGAAAGCGUGGGGAGCGAACGGG
This 253-nucleotide ribosomal RNA is filed under the name uncultured bacterium. RNAcentral's name for it is "partial 16S ribosomal RNA". It matches the Rfam family "Bacterial small subunit ribosomal RNA", at positions 524 to 776 of the family's 1533-position model. The record is from RNAcentral.